RNAcentral lists this ribosomal RNA (592 nucleotides) under uncultured bacterium. RNAcentral's name for it is "bacterial SSU rRNA". It matches the Rfam family "Bacterial small subunit ribosomal RNA", at positions 48 to 624 of the family's 1533-position model. The record is from RNAcentral.
CCUAUAAUGCAGUCGAGCGGACGGAUGGGAGCUUGCUCCCGGAAGUUAGCGGCGAACGGGUGAGUAACACGUGGGCAACCUGCCCUACAGACUGGGAUAACCUCGGGAAACCGGAGCUAAUACCGGAUAGGUUUGAAGAUUACCUGAUCUUCAAUUAAAAGAUGGCUUCGGCUAUCACUGCAGGAUGGGCCCGUGGCGCAUUAGCUAGUUGGUAAGGUAACGGCUUACCAAGGCGACGAUGCGUAGCCGACCUGAGAGGGUGAUCGGCCACACUGGGACUGAGACACGGCCCAGACUCCUACGGGAGGCAGCAGUAGGGAAUCUUCCGCAAUGGACGAAAGUCUGACGGAGCAACGCCGCGUGAGUGAUGAAGGUUUUCGGAUCGUAAAGCUCUGUUGUUAGGGAAGAACAAGUGCCGUUCGAAUAGGUCGGCACCUUGACGGUACCUAACCAGAAAGCCACGGCUAACUACGUGCCAGCAGCCGCGGUAAUACGUAUGUGGCAAGCGUUGUCCGGAAUUAUUGGGCGUAAAGCGCGCGCAGGCGGUCUUUUAAGUCUGAUGUGAAAUCUCGGGGCUCAACCCCGAGCGGUC